This is a non-coding RNA of Schistosoma rodhaini, 45 nucleotides long. The record is from Rfam. NCBI's taxonomy places the organism in Eukaryota, Metazoa, Platyhelminthes, Trematoda, Strigeidida, Schistosomatidae.
ACUCAGCUAACGAGUCUCAAAUAGGACGAAACGUGCGUCCUGGAU